This is a long non-coding RNA of Solanum stenotomum, 644 nucleotides long. RefSeq lists it as uncharacterized. Lineage: Eukaryota; Viridiplantae; Streptophyta; Magnoliopsida; Solanales; Solanaceae. The transcript is spliced from 3 exons. The record is from RefSeq and is a predicted model, not a curated record.
CGAAAGCCACCUUCAGUUGAAAAUAAUCAGAAUAAGUUAGGAGGGAAAUUCGACGGAGAAGAGGCAUAGCGAUGGCCGGCGGAGACGUAAGGAAGGAAGAGAGUGACGGCUAAUUUUUUGAAUCGAUUAUCGACAAGAUAUGUUGUUCAUCGACAAGCUCUGGGGCAGGUCUAACUUUUUUACCUAAAGCUAGACUGUGAAGACUGGCAAUGGAAAUGCGCUUUUUCUCUGAGUUAACUGUUGCUCGGUGGACAACACCUUUGUAUCGACCAUUGCUCAAUACUUCCAUGUGAUCUCCCACCAGAACAAUGAGGCUUCCUUCAAUGACUGGAACCGAAUGCCACUUUUCAUCUCGAUCCAUGAUUUGCAAGCCCUGAUGAUUUUGAAGAAUGAUGGAUAGCAAAGAAUAAUCUGUGUGUGGUGGCAAGCCUAGUGCAAGAUCCGGCUCAGGACAUGCUGGAUAGCAAUUAACGGCAAUGACCUGGGAGCCUUUUGCAAUGUCUUCAUUUCCUUGCAGGCCAGGUGUACUUGCUGGAUUAUUUGAGGCCGAAGAAGAGGGUGUUGCAGUAAGGAUAGAUCCACAAUUGGCAAGCAUGUGUUGGAGUUGGACAAGGUUCCGUUGGGGUGUAGGGAUGAUGGAACGA